This is a non-coding RNA of Tepidiphilus thermophilus, 237 nucleotides long. The record is from Rfam. NCBI's taxonomy places the organism in Bacteria, Pseudomonadati, Pseudomonadota, Hydrogenophilia, Hydrogenophilales, Hydrogenophilaceae.
GUCAAUCCUCCCCGCCCUAAAGGGCGAAGCUUGUGCCCCAAGCUCGGUUGACCAGACCAUGCGCGAGCAAUCGCGCGACGUGUGAUGGAAGUGCGAAGACCCACCCGCAGAUGCUUCCUCAGUCCGCAGCUCUGGAAGAGAGGGAUGCAGACACGGCAAGGGAGCGCCACGAAACGGUCCCUCUCCCGGCGGGAAACCGCCGAAGCUGCCAUCGCACACGGUCGAGGGGAGCGGUCC